UACGUAGGGUACAAGCGUUGUCCGGAAUUAUUGGGCGUAAAGGGCUCGUAGGCGGUUCGGUAAGUCAGAUGUGAAAACUCAGGGCUCAACCCUGAGACGCCAUCUGAUACUGCUGUGACUUGAGUUCGGUAGAGGAGUGUGGAAUUCCUGGUGUAGCGGUGAAAUGCGCAGAUAUCAGGAGGAACACCUACGGCGAAGGCAGCACUCUGGGCCGAAACUGACGCUGAGGAGCGAAAGCGUGGGGAGCAAACAGG
This 254-nucleotide unclassified non-coding RNA is filed under the name uncultured Acidimicrobiia bacterium. RNAcentral describes it as "contains 16S-23S intergenic spacer region". It matches the Rfam family "Bacterial small subunit ribosomal RNA", at positions 524 to 776 of the family's 1533-position model. The record is from RNAcentral. Lineage: Bacteria; Bacillati; Actinomycetota; Acidimicrobiia.